Molecule: long non-coding RNA, 1926 nt
Organism: Rattus norvegicus (Norway rat)
Lineage: Eukaryota; Metazoa; Chordata; Mammalia; Rodentia; Muridae
Source: RefSeq, a predicted model, not a curated record
CCGUUUUACGACAUUUCCGGACAGAGACUCAAGCCUUUCACUCCACCAUGGGUCCUAGAUCAGGACCUGUCUAUGCCAGGAAAGAGGAAAAUACCAUUGUGGCCCAGUCGGCCUGCAGGUCACGAGACAAAACAGACAACCAGCUGUGCCCCGGGUUCCAGGAACUACAGAAAAUCACAGACCUUGGAAUACGAAGACCACCAGCAACAGGACUGGCAAAGGACUAGGCUUCGGGUUGUGUUUUACCCCGGCCUCUGGUUAUGUGACUAGCUAAGAGGGAAACUAGGCACCAAGGCAAAGGUGAGGUGACCGGGCAAGUCUAAAGUUGUACUGAGUAGAGGCAAAGACUGCACAAGAAUGAAAGAAAAAGACCAAGUAAUGAGGGGCAUGAGCUAAUGUCCAACCCUGACUGAACAAAUUAUUUUCCCACACAUGUAUUCCGAAGACUGAAGAAACAGUAUUACAUACACUCUUUUGAGCGCUUUCUGACCAACAUUUUUCUAUUAAAGGUUAUGCUUCUCGGGAGCCAGUAUCAAAGCUUCUUGUGGCUUGUCAGUAAAUUUAAGAGGCCAAAUCUGUGUAAAUUUAAAUUACAUAAAACCUCUCCCUCAAUUGCCUGGUCUCAGAAUAGCCCCUUUCACUGGGCAUUAUCAUCAGGGAAUAUAAACGCCUUUAUCAUAGGAGCCCAGGCUUUUGAAAUCUUGGCAUAAUCGAAUUUCCUCCUCCCAAGGCAUAUCAAACAACAUUGCAGAAUGGAGUCUAAUUUGCUUUUUAACCAAAAGGUUCUUUCCUCUGCUUAUUUGAAGACUAUUUCUAUAUAACAAAUGCAGUGUUCUCUAUGACCACCCCCCUGCCAGAUGGCAGUGCCUGGAAGCCUACACGGUCACCCUAAGGGCAAAGAUUGACGGAAUUGUGAGGGAAAAAAACAGCAGGACACUCUGUGCAUCGGGGAGACAGUGGGGACCGCAUGAGCAGACACCUGAAAGCAUCAAAAGGUGGGCAUAUACUUAACUAACGAAGUCCUGAACAUGGGGGCAAGCGUCGCCCGCCCGUGAAUUGGCCUUCUCUGUCUGUCAGCUGGUGUGAAAACCUGGGAAUCUUUUGUUGACAGUGUCUGUAAGCUACCCUGAACCCCAAGCAGAUGAUUCAAGGCUGAGAAUACAUUCUGAUGCCGACACAGACAAUGGAACAGACAGACAAGGUCAGACGCAGGAAAUGUGGUACUUGGAGCACCGUUAGCCCGGACUAGCAUGAGCCUCUGGGGAUUCUCUAUGGAAGUCUUCGGACGCCCUGGGUGGUUUCUGAGAACAGGUUACAAAUCCAGACACCCCUCUUCUGCCUGUUAAGAAACUGGACUGUCCUCCAUUAACCACAAGGCCCGCGGUUACCAGGACUUCUCAGAGUCAUUCAUUAAAAUCUUCAUAUUGAGACGUCUCCUGCAGGACCAAACUCACAGAAGCAUCCAACAUGGCUGCCGUGACUAGGAUGGAGGCCUCUCCGGAGACAGAAUAAACACAUUGAUGGGAGUCACAGCUCCGUGUUCUUGUGUCUGCAAAGAGCUAAUCAAAGGCCCGCCCCUUUCUACGAUACCUCCUCGGCACAGAGCAUGGCCAUUUGUUUGUGGACAGAACGUUGUUCUCCAAUGCCCUACCUAUAAAUAUGUAAAGGCAAGAGACAAGACCAUUACUUUAGGGCACUGCUGUGCACUGCUGUUGGACAUCAUUAUGAAGGAAAGACUAUAAGCCCCAAGCAGAUAAAAUGCACAAAAGCCAGAGAGUCUACCAACAAGACACAAGCAUUUAGUGUUAUCCUGAAUUAGCCUCGUUUAUUUAUCGUCGUUCAUUUGAAACCAUGAAGCCCUUAUGCCUUGUAAAUCAAUACGCUAAAUGCUGUGGAAAUACAAAUUAAAAAUGAGUACUUGUCAAA